CCAUGGGUGGCUCUAGAGCAGAAAAAAGGUGUGUGAAUAGGCUACACAUAGCUGCAGCGGAAGCCUGAGCACAGCCAUGACAGAAGAGUUCAGAUACGGUGUGAUGAAGAAUGGCUAGCAUGCCUGAUAGCACAGUACAGCUUGGGGCUCCGUGACAAAGUUCAAAUUAUUUCCAGGUUGCAGCACUAAUAUGCCUGGAGAAAAAGGGACGCAUAUGAGAACGUACCCCUCUCCCGACGCACUGUAACGAGGAGGGUUGAGGACAUCGCAGGAAAUCUUUGCAUCUACCUACAUAUGUGAACAGA
Monopterus albus (swamp eel) is the source of this 305-nucleotide long non-coding RNA. RefSeq lists it as uncharacterized. The record is from RefSeq and is a predicted model, not a curated record. Lineage: Eukaryota; Metazoa; Chordata; Actinopteri; Synbranchiformes; Synbranchidae. The transcript has 3 exons.